This 591-nucleotide ribosomal RNA is filed under the name Triticum aestivum (bread wheat). RNAcentral describes it as "partial small subunit ribosomal RNA". Lineage: Eukaryota; Viridiplantae; Streptophyta; Magnoliopsida; Poales; Poaceae. The record is from RNAcentral.
AUGGCCACCACCAGCAAGCAGGCUCUGGCUCUCGCUGCUCUCCUGGUCCUGGUCACCGGCACCCACCUCAUUGCCGCCGCAAGGGCCCCGGUCACUGUAACCGGCAUUGGCGUUGGAGGAGGUGGCUACGGUGGUGGUGGAGGUGGAGGAGAAGGCGGUGGAAGCGGCGGUCAUGGUUAUGGCUACGGUUCAGGCUAUGGUGCUGGAUAUGGCUCUGGAGGCGGCAUCGGUGGUGGUGGUGGCGGUGGCCAUGGCGGCGGUGGUGGUGGAGGAAGUGGUGGCAUGGGCUCAGGGUACGGCUCCGGUUACGGCAGUGGUUAUGGCUCGGGUUACGGUGCUGGCGGUCAAGGUGGUGGGGGAGGUAGUGGAGGAGGAGGCGGUGGUGGAUCCGGCUAUGGCAGUGGAGGUGGCUAUGGGUCUGGGUAUGGAGAAGGCUAUGGUUCAGGAGGUGGCAUGAACGGUGGCGGUGGAGGAGGCGGCGGUGGAGGGGGAGGUGGUGGUGGCGGCGGCAGUGGUGGUUUUGGGCAUGGAAGCGGCGGAGGCUAUGGUUAUGGCAGUGGAGGUGGCUAUGGCGGCGAGCAUGGCCACUGA